AGCCAUUCAUUGCCCACAUAUCCGAUUGGCUAUUCCAUCCAGCUCUCUUUUUCCAUUUUCCAAUUUUUGCCCUCCUUCAUCUUCUCCUUCACUUUCUUGCCAUAUUUCAGAUUUUCUCAUUCAUCUUCUCCCACAGAUCUGUAAUUUUUUCUUCUUCUGUUCCCAUAUUUCAAGUAAUUUUUUUCUUUGAUUUUUCCAUUCUUUUUAACAUUUCUAUUAUGUGUUUUUUUGUCGGUUUUUCAGCCAUGGUUCUCGAGGCUACUAUGAUAUGCAUUGAUAACUCAGAAUGGAUACGAAACGACGAUUAUUCUCUGUCUCGAUUUGAAGCACAAGCAAGAGCUCAUAGGCUAGGCCAAAAGAAGGAUGUACUUGUUUUACGUUUUGAAACAGUUCAAACUGUUGAAGAACAAGUCAGAGCUUCUGCUGAACACAAAUUGGCAGUUGCUAAUCAGAGUAUCACUGUCGGUUUCUUCGAUAAUAAUACAAUGCUGAAGAUCGUAGGGAGUAUUUAGGGUCCCUCUUGUGGGAGUGUAAGAAAGAGGAAGUUGCUCCCGUGUGGGAUGAUGAUGCAGUUUACUGGAGAAAUUCAAUGCAUUUACUUUUAUUGAUCUGUUUAUGUUUUUUUUUGUUGAAAAACCAAUGAUGAUGAGUAAUGGAUGUUUGGUUCUGGAACAUCUUGUUUGAAGAAAUUGUAAUGACAGUUGAAGAGGAUGUGAGAGGAGACAUUGAUGUGAUGAUUUUGCAAUUAUAUAUUUGUCAUUGAACCAUAUUUGACUAUGAUCUUAAGUUUUGGUGCUAAAUCGUCGUUGGUACAAUAGUCUAAUAGAUUUCUACUUCAAAUUAGACUGUGUUCCUAGUUUGGAUUGUUUGUCACUUUUAGAAGGAAAUCUGAUUAUAAGCAUAGAACAUAUGUGCAGACCUUGAGAGAAAAUUGCAAAAUUUUACUGCUGUAUACUUCCUUGGCCUCAAAGCAGAUGGUUAAAAUGCUUAAAAACCCUACAGUUUAAUCCUUGAAAUUGUUGAGUUUACGGUUUUCCUUUGAAAUGAUUGGAAAGUAGGCUAUCUAAAUUUUAGUUCUGACAAAAUUCUUUUAUUUCUUCUAUUAAAUACUUCUUUCAGCUCAUGGUGACAAAUUUGCUGCGAAAAGAAUGAGAAGGCUGACCCAAAGGAGAGCUGUUGAUUAUACUAGUACUGUUGUGUGAUAUAUGCAGAUUCGAAUGUCACAGCGGGAUUCACGGGACAGGACAACAUUGUAGAUUCAAAUGUUCUAACUUUUUUAUGUUGUAAAACUGUAUAACAUAUGGAUUAUGACAUAGGAUUUCAUGAAUUUCAUGUAACAUUUUGUUAAUAUAUGAAUAUUAUGUUUAUGUAAAAUAUAAUUCUCAAGUUAUUUAUUACUGCUAA
Gossypium raimondii (Peruvian cotton) is the source of this 1404-nucleotide RNA transcript. It is a transcript of the gene named chromatin structure-remodeling complex protein SYD, with no coding region annotated. The record is from RefSeq and is a predicted model, not a curated record. The transcript is spliced from 5 exons. Lineage: Eukaryota; Viridiplantae; Streptophyta; Magnoliopsida; Malvales; Malvaceae.